RNAcentral lists this ribosomal RNA (253 nucleotides) under uncultured bacterium. RNAcentral describes it as "partial 16S ribosomal RNA". It matches the Rfam family "Bacterial small subunit ribosomal RNA", at positions 524 to 776 of the family's 1533-position model. The record is from RNAcentral.
GACAGAGGAUGCAAGCGUUAUCCGGAAUGAUUGGGCGUAAAGCGUCUGUAGGUGGCUUUUUAAGUCUGCCGUCAAAUCCCAGGGCUUAACCCUGGACAGGCGGUGGAAACUACCAAGCUGGAGUACGGUAGGGGCAGAGGGAAUUUCCGGUGGAGCGGUGAAAUGCGUAGAGAUCAGGAAGAACACCGGUGGCGAAAGCGUUCUGCUAGACUUGUACUGACACUGAGGGACGAAAGCUAGGGGAGCGAAUGGG